RNAcentral lists this ribosomal RNA (371 nucleotides) under uncultured bacterium. RNAcentral describes it as "bacterial SSU rRNA". It matches the Rfam family "Bacterial small subunit ribosomal RNA", at positions 527 to 896 of the family's 1533-position model. The record is from RNAcentral.
GGGGGGUGCAAGCGUUAUUCGGAAUCAUUGGGCGUAAAGGGCGCGUAGGCGGCCCCUUAAGUCAGAUGUGAAAGCCCUCAGCUUAACUGAGGAAGUGCAUUUGAAACUAAGGGGCUUGAGUAUGGGAGAGGGAAGCGGAAUUCCUGGUGUAGCGGUGAAAUGCGUAGAUAUCAGGAGGAACACCGGUGGCGAAGGCGGCUUCCUGGACCAAUACUGACGCUGAGGCGCGAAGGCGUGGGGAGCAAACAGGAUUAGAUACCCUGGUAGUCCACGCAGUAAACUGUGAACACUAGGUGUAGCGGGUAUUGACCCCUGCUGUGCCGAAGCUAACGCAUUAAGUGUUCCGCCUGGGAAGUACGGUCGCAAGGCUA